GGGCGGUGGUGGGCGGGGGGUUGGCGGUGGGGAGGCAGGAGGGGGGGGUGGGUCGGGAACGGAGGGUCAGGAGGGGAGAGCGGCGGGUGGAGAGCGGACAUUGAGGCAAGAUCGGUCAUCGAUGGGUCAAGAUCGGUCAUCGUUGGGUCAAGAUCGGUCAUCAAGGGGUCAAGAUCGGUCAUCAAGGGGUCAAGAUCGGUCAUCGAUGGGUCAAGAUCAGACAUUGACCCAAGAUCGGUCAUCGAUGGGUCAAGAUUGGUCAUCAUUGACCCAAGACCAGACAUUGAGGCAAGAUCGGUCAUUGAUGGGUCAAGAUCGGUCAUUGAUGGGUCAAGAUCGGUCAUCGUUGGGUCAAGAUCGGUCAUCGUUGGGUCAAGAUCGGACAUUGGCCCAAGAUCGGUCAUCGUUGGGUCAAGAUCGGUCAUCGUUGGGUCAAGAUCGGUCAUCGUUGGGUCAAGAUUGGACAUUGGCCCAAGAUCGGUCAUCGAUGGGUCAAGAUCGGUCAUCGUUGGGUCAAGAUCGGUCAUCGAUGGGUCAAGACCGGUCAUUGACCCAAGAUCGGUCAUUGAUGGGUCAAGAUCGAUCAUCGAUGGGUCAAGACCAGACAUUGGCCCAAGAUCGGUCAUCGAUGGGUCAAGACUGGACAUUGGCCCAAGAUCGGUCAUUGAUGGGUCAAGAUCGGUCAUCGAUGGGUCAAGACCGGACAUUGAUGGGUCAAGACCAGACAUUAACCCAAGAUCGGUCAUCGUUGGGUCAAGAUCGGACAUCAAUGGGUCAAGAUCGGUCAUCGAUGGGUCAAGAUCAGACAUUGACCCAAGAUCGGUCAUCGAUGGGUCAAGAUUGGUCAUCAUUGACCCAAGACCAGACAUUGAGGCAAGAUCAGUCAUUGAUGGGUCAAGAUCGGUCAUUGAUGGGUCAAGAUUGGUCAUCGUUGGGUCAAGAUCGGUCAUCGUUGGGUCAAGAUCGGUCAUUGGCCCAAGAUCGGUCAUCGAUGGGUCAAGAUCGGUCAUCAAGGGGUCAAGAUCGGUCAUCAAUGGGUCAAGAUCAGACAUUGACCCAAGAUCGGUCAUCGAUGAGUCAAGACCGGACAUUGAUGGGUCAAGACCAGACAUUAACCCAAGAUNNNNNNNNNNCCAGACAUUAACCCAAGAUCGGUCAUCGUUGGGUCAAGAUCGGACAUCAAUGGGUCAAGAUCGGUCAUCGAUGGGUCAAGAUCGGACACUGACCCAAGAUCGGUCAUCGAUGGGUCAAGAUUGGUCAUCAUUGACCCAAGACCAGACAUUGAGGCAAGAUCGGUCAUUGAUGGGUCAAGAUCGGUCAUNNNNNNNNNNUGUCCCCAAGGCCACCAGAGAUGAUCCCAAGGUCACCAGAGAUGCCCCCAAGGCCACCAGAGAUGUCUCCAAGGCCACCUGAAGUGUCCCCAAGGCCACCAGAGAUGUCCCCAAGGCCACCAGAGAUGAUCCCAAGGCCACCAGAGAUGAUCCCAAGGUCACCAGAGAUGUCCCCAAGACCACCAGAAAUGUCCUCAAGGUCACCUGAAGUGUCCCCGAGGCCACCAGAGAUGUCCCCAAGGCCACCAGAGAUGUCCCCGAGGCCACCAGAAGCUGGGGACCCCCUUGGGGACACCCCCGGGGACCCCCUGGGUGGCACCACAGGGGGGGGGUGUCCCCAAAUGUCCCCACAGGGGUCCCCAGAGGGGUCCCCGAUGUCCCC
RNAcentral lists this long non-coding RNA (1713 nucleotides) under Chloebia gouldiae (Gouldian finch). RNAcentral's name for it is "Erythrura gouldiae (Gouldian finch) lncRNA (ENSEGOG00005010776.1)". Lineage: Eukaryota; Metazoa; Chordata; Aves; Passeriformes; Passeridae. The record is from RNAcentral.